Molecule: small nuclear RNA, 242 nt
Filed under: Erinaceus europaeus (western European hedgehog)
Lineage: Eukaryota; Metazoa; Chordata; Mammalia; Eulipotyphla; Erinaceidae
Description: 7SK RNA
Rfam family: 7SK RNA
About the family: 7SK was discovered as an abundant small nuclear RNA in the mid-70s but a possible function has only recently been suggested. Two independent studies have found that 7SK RNA binds the CDK9/cyclin T complex (known as elongation factor P-TEFb).
Source: Rfam by way of RNAcentral
GGGUGUGAGGGUCAUCUGGCUAUGACGUCUGUCCUUUCAUUGAUCACCAGGGCUGGUUGGCUGAUCUGGUAGACAAGGUGGGUGACCUCCUUCCUCCCUCACUGCUUAAACGUGCAGACUCAGUUGACUAAGAGUCGCUACACUCUUCCGCAAUAACCUCCAAACUCUCAAGAUUAGUAGGAAGCAAAGUUACUGGGAAGCCAGACAAGUAAAUAUGUUUCAGAAGAGGACAGACAACCUUU